AUUGAACGCUGGCGGCAGGCCUAACACAUGCAAGUCGAGCGGUAGAGAGGUGCUUGCAUCUCUUGAGAGCGGCGGACGGGUGAGUAAUGCCUAGGAAUCUGCCUAGUGGUGGGGGAUAACGUUCGGAAACGGACGCUAAUACCGCAUACGUCCUACGGGAGAAAGCGGGGGGAUCUUCGGACCUCGCGCCAUUAGAUGAGCCUAGGUCGGAUUAGCUAGUUGGUGAGGUAAUGGCUCACCAAGGCGACGAUCCGUAACUGGUCUGAGAGGAUGAUCAGUCACACUGGAACUGAGACACGGUCCAGACUCCUACGGGAGGCAGCAGUGGGGAAUAUUGGACAAUGGGCGAAAGCCUGAUCCAGCCACGCCGCGUGUGUGAAGAAGGUCUUCGGAUUGUAAAGCACUUUAAGUUGGGAGGAAGGGCAGUAAGUUAAUACCUUGCUGUUUGACGUUACCAACAGAAUAAGCACCGGCUAACUUCGUGCCAGCA
RNAcentral lists this ribosomal RNA (490 nucleotides) under uncultured bacterium. RNAcentral describes it as "bacterial SSU rRNA". It matches the Rfam family "Bacterial small subunit ribosomal RNA", at positions 30 to 513 of the family's 1533-position model. The record is from RNAcentral.